CAAGAGGAAGUUUUUUAAAAUAUUAAUUUUGGAGAUUGAAGAUAAUACAGGAGUAUUUCUCUUGA
RNAcentral lists this transfer RNA (65 nucleotides) under Curculionoidea sp. 20 KM-2017. Its description in RNAcentral is "tRNA-Pro". The record is from RNAcentral. Lineage: Eukaryota; Metazoa; Arthropoda; Insecta; Coleoptera.